Molecule: long non-coding RNA, 676 nt
Filed under: Mytilus galloprovincialis (Mediterranean mussel)
Lineage: Eukaryota; Metazoa; Mollusca; Bivalvia; Mytilida; Mytilidae
Source: RNAcentral
GUUUUCUCGCUUUUGCUUUGAAUGAGCGGAGAAAUCUCGGUUUUUUUAUUACACACAUUGAUAUUGCAAAUCUGCAAUCUGUCAUUAAGUUCUUCAAUAUUCCUUUCAGUGUUUUGUCCGUCACACUGCUCCUUCUGUAAGUUCAGUGGCCACAUUUCAAACACGAAUAUACUGGCAAGGAGUGCAUACUCCAUUAUCAUCGGAUCAACAAUUACUCUGGAUCUCCAAUACACUUUAGAGAUUAAUGUUGAAUUACAAUUACAGUCACUUAUAUUUGGCUCGAAGUAAUAGUCCCUCGUGAUGUAGUAUCCGGUAACAGUAUAAUAAGUCCAGACAGCAACGUUGGUUACCAAGAUGAAGCUUACGGUGUAGAAUAUAACAAUACUGUUUUUAAGUACAAACUUAUACAUUAUCCGUAUAAAAGCUGUCUGAGUUAGAAAAAAUAAGAUAAGUGCAGUGUGUGCUGCUAAAUUAUUAUCAAGAUCAACGUGAGGUGGAGAACACUCUCUCCUGUAAAUAUACGCAAUAAUUUGAUAUGCUAUUCCACCAACUCCGAAAAGGUAAAGAAAUUUCAGUUUUAACCAGGCUGUGUUGUCCCGUUUAUACAAUGUAUCGCUUCCAUUUCUUGUUAUUCUUUUUGUAUUUAUAUAAAUGAUCACCAUGCACGCUAAAAAUG